RNAcentral lists this ribosomal RNA (877 nucleotides) under Salmonella enterica subsp. enterica. RNAcentral's name for it is "partial 23S ribosomal RNA". It matches the Rfam family "Bacterial large subunit ribosomal RNA", at positions 847 to 1637 of the family's 2925-position model. Lineage: Bacteria; Pseudomonadati; Pseudomonadota; Gammaproteobacteria; Enterobacterales; Enterobacteriaceae. The record is from RNAcentral.
AGCUGGUUCUCCCCGAAAGCUAUUUAGGUAGCGCCUCGUGAAUUCAUCUCCGGGGGUAGAGCACUGUUUCGGCUAGGGGGCCAUCCCGGCUUACCAACCCGAUGCAAACUGCGAAUACCGGAGAAUGUUAUCACGGGAGACACACGGCGGGUGCUAACGUCCGUCGUGAAGAGGGAAACAACCCAGACCGCCAGCUAAGGUCCCAAAGUCAUGGUUAAGUGGGAAACGAUGUGGGAAGGCCCAGACAGCCAGGAUGUUGGCUUAGAAGCAGCCAUCAUUUAAAGAAAGCGUAAUAGCUCACUGGUCGAGUCGGCCUGCGCGGAAGAUGUAACGGGGCUAAACCAUGCACCGAAGCUGCGGCAGCGAACGUAUCACCCAAGACAACUUUACGGAGUUGACGAUUGACGGAGCGAAGCGACGUCAAAGCGUUCAUUAAAGUCGAGUUGGCUUAGGGAUACGUUCGUUGGGUAGGGGAGCGUUCUGUAAGCCUGUGAAGGUGUGUCGUGAGGCAUGCUGGAGGUAUCAGAAGUGCGAAUGCUGACAUAAGUAACGAUAAAGCGGGUGAAAAGCCCGCUCGCCGGAAGACCAAGGGUUCCUGUCCAACGUUAAUCGGGGCAGGGUGAGUCGACCCCUAAGGCGAGGCCGAAAGGCGUAGUCGAUGGGAAACGGGUUAAUAUUCCCGUACUUGGUGUUACUGCGAAGGGGGGACGGAGAAGGCUAUGUUGGCCGGGCGACGGUUGUCCCGGUUUAAGCGUGUAGGUGUGUGUUCCAGGUAAAUCCGGUUCACUUUAACACUGAGGCGUGACGACGAGGCACUACGGUGCUGAAGCAACAAAUGCCCUGCUUCCAGGAAAAGCCUCUAAGCAUCAGGUAACAC